Molecule: ribosomal RNA, 1427 nt
Filed under: Streptomyces antarcticus
Lineage: Bacteria; Bacillati; Actinomycetota; Actinomycetes; Kitasatosporales; Streptomycetaceae
Description: partial 23S ribosomal RNA
Rfam family: Bacterial large subunit ribosomal RNA
Source: RNAcentral
GGCCAAGUUUUUAAGGGCACACGGUGGAUGCCUUGGCACCAGGAACCGAUGAAGGACGUGAGAGGCCGCGAUAGGCCCCGGGGAGCUGCCAACUGAGCUUUGAUCCGGGGGUGUCCGAAUGGGGAAACCCGGCAGUCGUCAUGGGCUGUCACCCACUGCUGAACACAUAGGCAGUGUGGAGGGAACGCGGGGAAGUGAAACAUCUCAGUACCCGCAGGAAGAGAAAACAACCGUGAUUCCGGGAGUAGUGGCGAGCGAAACCGGAUGAGGCCAAACCGUAUGCGUGUGAUACCCGGCAGGGGUUGCGCAUGCGGGGUUGUGGGAAUUCUUUUGACCGGUCUGCCGGCCGGUCGGCGAGUCAGAAACCGUUGAUGUAGUCGAAGGACAUGCGAAAGGUCCGGCGUAGAGGGUAAGACCCCCGUAGACGAAACAUCAGCGGCUUGCUUAAGAAUCUCCCAAGUAGCACGGGGCCCGAGAAAUCCCGUGUGAAUCUGGCGGGACCACCCGCUAAGCCUAAAUAUUCCCUGGUGACCGAUAGCGGAUAGUACCGUGAGGGAAUGGUGAAAAGUACCGCGGGAGCGGAGUGAAAUAGUACCUGAAACCGUGUGCCUACAAGCCGUGGGAGCGUCGCCGUUGUUCUUCGGAACACCGGUCGUGACUGCGUGCCUUUUGAAGAAUGAGCCUGCGAGUUAGCGGUGUGUAGCGAGGUUAACCCGUGUGGGGAAGCCGUAGCGAAAGCGAGUCCGAAUAGGGCGAUUGAGUUGCACGCUCUAGACCCGAAGCGGAGUGAUCUAGCCAUGGGCAGGUUGAAGCGGAGGUAAGACUUCGUGGAGGACCGAACCCACCAGGGUUGAAAACCUGGGGGAUGACCUGUGGUUAGGGGUGAAAGGCCAAUCAAACUCCGUGAUAGCUGGUUCUCCCCGAAAUGCAUUUAGGUGCAGCGUCACGUGUUUCUUGCCGGAGGUAGAGCACUGGAUAGGCGAUGGGCCCUACCGGGUUACUGACCUUAGCCAAACUCCGAAUGCCGGUAAGUGAGAGCGUGGCAGUGAGACUGUGGGGGAUAAGCUCCAUGGUCGAGAGGGAAACAGCCCAGAGCAUCGACUAAGGCCCCCAAGCGUACGCUAAGUGGGAAAGGAUGUGGAGUCGCACAGACAACCAGGAGGUUGGCUUAGAAGCAGCCACCCUUGAAAGAGUGCGUAAUAGCUCACUGGUCAAGUGAUUCCGCGCCGACAAUGUAGCGGGGCUCAAGCGUACCGCCGAAGUCGUGUCAUUGCAGCAAUAGGGCCAACGCCCGCUGUGAUGGGUAGGGGAGCGUCGUGUGCCGGGUGAAGCAGCAGCGGAAGCUAGUUGUGGACGGUUCACGAGUGAGAAUGCAGGCAUGAGUAGCGAUACACACGUGAGAAACGUGUGCGCCGAUUGACUAAGGG